CUCCAGGGUCCCUGAAUUAGACCCAAUCUUGGGGACAGCUCUGCUCUUCUGAUUCAAUGACCAACCUCAAUGGGAAAAGUCAGACUGUGGGAAGUGACUGCCUCAGAAAGCUGCUGGGUGAGAGGAGGGAGGCCAUGGUGACUUCCGGGAAAAAGACCCACCGUCUGUGUGCCCACAUGGGGCUCUCCAGUCCUGGCUUAAAAUAGUGCAAUUCUGCCAUUGAUGCUGGACCCAGCCUGGACCUUACAGGGCUGAAACCAUGGUUUGUGCUGCCAGUAGGAGCUGUGGGUGUGUAUGAGGGUCUACCCAGCAAUUGAGUUCAAAUCAGACUUUGUCCUGUGGCCACAGGGACUAAAAAAAAAAAUACAGAACCCAGACCUGAAGCUUUGGAUGCGAGUUUCAGCUCUUGCACUGAUCAGCUUUGAGACUUUGGUCUGGUGCCUGCCUCACUUUCAACCAAAACGAGACAGUGGCAUGGCACAGAGCCUUGCCAGGCAUAAAGUGGGUGCACAAAACUGGACUCCUGUUGUUUCCAUACUGCACUCUGCUAUACCUGCACGCUCUAAGGACUGGGUGUAGAGCAGGGAAGGCUUGUGGAGAGGGAGCUUGCAAGGAGGGCAAGGAUGGGGCUGUGGUCUCCAUGGUGAGACUUGUUGCCAAGGGAACAAAGUCUCCAGGAGCCCUGGGUCUGGCAGUUGGGCACUUUUGCCACAGGAGCUGGCAGGCUAAUUGUCAUUGCACCCAAACUCCUGAUGGGCCAUCAGGCCAAGGCCAGGCUGAAGAGAGAGGAAGCUCCUGGCUUUGUUUGGCCUCUGCUGCUGGAGGGGCUGCAGCUUCGGCACACUGUCUCCAAGGAUGUCUGGACUUCAGUGAAGCCUGUUGUCAUUCCUAAACUCCUCAGCUACAGGUUGCCUGAGGAACGUAAACCCUGGAAAGGACUCCCUGCAGCCAGAUCAUCCAAUCCCAGCAGCCUCCCCUGUCAUCACUUCAGGAUGUUUCUGGCUCCACUGUUGGAACCUGGAGCACUAGGUUUCACUACUGGUUACACAGAGAUAUCCUUGCUUAUCUCCAGCCUGACUGUCACGACACACUCCAGGAAACUCCAAGCUCACCAUUACUUAAGAAGCAACUUAGAUAUUUGGGAGAGCACUACCCCUAAUUUUACCCCAUGGAAUGCUGACUCAACAGAACUUUUACAGAAGACAAAAGUAAACCCAACAAAGGGGUAGUUCUGCUGAUAUGGAGGAGCCCUACUGAGCUUUUCACAGCAGAAAGACUACAGGAAACUUGCUUCCCAUCAACUCUCUAGCACUCUAUAAAACAUUACUCUUCAAAACAGAGCCAGCUCCCAGCAACUACCACAUGCCACUUGUUGGCAAUAUGCCUAUAAAUCAACUGGAUUCCUCUGAUGAAGAGCGGGCUUCAUGUGCACAUGGAGGUUUGCCCACCACCACUCUUCCCUGGGACAUCAGAGCCAUGGUCAGCCUGUCAACCAGCCUUAUCUCCAACAGGUUCAUCAGUCACGCUCUCUUCUUCAGUUGCUGGUAAACUUGUACAUAUUUUAAAUGACGCACGUUCUGUCCUUGAUGUCUGUGUUUAAAUGCAUUAAAACUGACUAAA
Long non-coding RNA from Mastomys coucha (southern multimammate mouse), 1620 nucleotides. RefSeq lists it as uncharacterized. NCBI's taxonomy places the organism in Eukaryota, Metazoa, Chordata, Mammalia, Rodentia, Muridae. The transcript has 6 exons. The record is from RefSeq and is a predicted model, not a curated record.